CAAGAUCAUAUGUUCAUGGUCUUACAGAGGGUAAAGCAGUGGUACGCAGCAGAAGUGUGCAGGUAAGCCUAGCAGCGCGUAUCACUAUCCUUCAGGCAUGUAUCUUUAUUCCGCGAAGAGCAGGUAAGAUCCUCCUCACACUCUCACUUGAUUUGACACUCAUACUCUGUUUUCAUCAAAAUAAGGUGCAUGUGACAUUGGAUCUAUUCCCUUCAGCCAACAAAAGGAUAUGGAAAAUUGACGUAGAAUCUGGAGUUGUGCUUCAUGUGUGCCAAGACGGUGAACUCUGUGAGUUCAGUUGAAGAGCUUGGGUGUCAUAUAAUUUAAUUCCAAGUAGAGAGUAACUCCCGG
This 351-nucleotide long non-coding RNA is filed under the name Chinchilla lanigera (long-tailed chinchilla). RNAcentral's name for it is "lncRNA (ENSCLAG00000023375.1)". Lineage: Eukaryota; Metazoa; Chordata; Mammalia; Rodentia; Chinchillidae. The record is from RNAcentral.